CUACGUGCCAGCAGCCGCGGUCAUACGUAGGAUCCGAGCGUUAUCCGGAGUGACUGGGCGUAAAGAGUUGCGUAGGUGGUUCGAUAAGCGAAUAGUGAAAUCUGGUGGCUCAACCAUUCAGACUAUUAUUCGAACUGUUGAACUCGAGAGCAGAAGAGGUAGCUGGAAUUUCUAGUGUAGGAGUGAAAUCCGUAGAUAUUAGAAGGAACACCGAUGGCGUAGGCAGGCUACUGGGCUGUUUCUGACACUGAGGCACGAAAGCGUGGGGAGCGAACCGGAUUAGAUACCCGGGUAGUCCACGCCGUAAACGAUGGAUACUAGCUGUUUGGGGUAUCGACCCCCUGAGUAGCGAAGCUAACGCGUUAAGUAUCCCGCCUGUGGAGUACGAUCGCAAGAUUAAAACAUAAAGGAAUUGACGGGGACCCGCACAGGCGGUGGAUCAUGUUCUUUAAUUCGAUGAUAACCGAUAAACCUUACCAGGUCUUGACAUCC
RNAcentral lists this ribosomal RNA (492 nucleotides) under uncultured bacterium. RNAcentral's name for it is "bacterial SSU rRNA". It matches the Rfam family "Bacterial small subunit ribosomal RNA", at positions 501 to 989 of the family's 1533-position model. The record is from RNAcentral.